RNAcentral lists this long non-coding RNA (275 nucleotides) under Rattus norvegicus (Norway rat). Its description in RNAcentral is "long non-coding RNA NONRATT029987". The record is from RNAcentral. Lineage: Eukaryota; Metazoa; Chordata; Mammalia; Rodentia; Muridae.
CCCUCUGCUGUAGGGUGAAGCUGGCCCCACCGGUCCAAUGGGUGCUAUGGGCCCUCUGGGACCAAGAGGAAUGCCAGGAGAGAGGGGAAGACUUGGGCCACAGGGUGCUCCUGGACAACGAGGUGCUCAUGGCAUGCCUGGAAAACCUGGACCAAUGGGUCCCCUUGGGAUACCUGGCUCUUCUGGCUUUCCAGGAAAUCCUGGAGUGAAGGGAGAAGCAGGUCCUACUGGGGCCCGAGGCCCUGAAGGACCUCAGGGACAGAGAGGUGAAACUG